CUUCAGCCAAAGAAACAAGCCGUGGAAUAGGUGUAUCAAGUAAUGGUGCAAAGCCUGAAAAAUCAUGAAUGUGGUCUGCAGACAUUGAUGAAGAAAAUCUGUUGGUAAUUGAUACAUGGGCUAAAGCAUCAGAGGUUUAAUUUGAAGUUUAUGUUCACACACUGAAAACUUAGUUUUUUUGUUGGUAGAUCCAUGUGCAUGCUAGAAUUUGGGACAGGCACUAUUUGCAUAAAGUAUUAAAGUCAAUUUUUAAACUAAGCAAAGGUACACGUUGUAACGGUGGGGCAUCUGUGAAAAAGAUGUCCCUUUCAUAAUAUAUGCAAUAUAUUCCAGAUGUUUUGAGAGAUUACAGAAGAGGAGGCCUGCUUCACUUGCAGAUAAGUUUAUUAUAAUUCUCCAGAAAUGUGCAGGAUGUGCAUUAGCAAAUUGCACUGUACUUUUCACUCCAGCCUGGGUGACAGAGCAAGACUCCCGUCUCGGGGGCUUA
This 487-nucleotide long non-coding RNA is filed under the name Homo sapiens (human). RNAcentral describes it as "non-protein coding lnc-SYF2-3:4". The record is from RNAcentral. Lineage: Eukaryota; Metazoa; Chordata; Mammalia; Primates; Hominidae.